RNAcentral lists this ribosomal RNA (462 nucleotides) under Triticum aestivum (bread wheat). RNAcentral's name for it is "partial small subunit ribosomal RNA". The record is from RNAcentral. Lineage: Eukaryota; Viridiplantae; Streptophyta; Magnoliopsida; Poales; Poaceae.
AUGUUCCACCUCCCCCUCCGUCGUCGCCUACGCUUCCGCCUCCCCCUCCAUGAUUUUGAUCCUAACCCUGCCGCCUUCUACUCUUUUGGCUGUCGCAUCGCCAUGGCCAGCCCCAGCCACCAUGAGCUCAGCUUCGUCCACCUUCUCACAGGCGAGCGAUUUCGCCUCCCCUAUCCACCGGCACCCUUCUGUCGCCUCCUCCUAUCUGGCGAUCUCGUCCUUGCCUUCGUUCCGACGGUCGGCCGUGCCGUCCAGUACUGUCGCCUUGGGGAUGUUGAGUGGCGUGUGGCGUCAUGCACUGAACCCUAUGUCCUGGAGGAUUUGAUCUUUCUCAAGGGCAACCUACACGCGCUGGUCAGAUCUGAAGAUGUUGGCGGCCUAUGUUACCGUCUCGCCGUGGCCAAUCUGUCAGACAAGAAUACAGUGGAAUUAAUGUUUCUUGGAGAUAAUUUGGAUACAUAG